GAUGAACGCUGGCGGCGUGCCUAAUACAUGCAAGUCGAGCGAACGGACGAGAAGCUUGCUUCUCUGAUGUUAGCGGCGGACGGGUGAGUAACACGUGGAUAACCUACCUAUAAGACUGGGAUAACUUCGGGAAACCGGAGCUAAUACCGGAUAAUAUUUUGAACCGCAUGGUUCAAAAGUGAAAGACGGUCCUGCUGUCACUUAUAGAUGGAUCCGCGCUGCAUUAGCUAGUUGGUAAGGUAACGGCUUACCAAGGCAACGAUGCAUAGCCGACCUGAGAGGGUGAUCGGCCACACUGGAACUGAGACACGGUCCAGACUCCUACGGGAGGCAGCAGUAGGGAAUCUUCCGCAAUGGGCGAAAGCCUGACGGAGCAACGCCGCGUGAGUGAUGAAGGUCUUCGGAUCGUAAAACUCUGUUAUUAGGGAAGAACAUAUGUGUAAGUAACUGUGCACAUCCUGACGGUACCUAAUCAGAAAGCCACGGCUAACUACGUG
This 497-nucleotide ribosomal RNA is filed under the name uncultured bacterium. RNAcentral describes it as "partial 16S ribosomal RNA". It matches the Rfam family "Bacterial small subunit ribosomal RNA", at positions 28 to 507 of the family's 1533-position model. The record is from RNAcentral.